This 1071-nucleotide long non-coding RNA is filed under the name Oryctolagus cuniculus (rabbit). RNAcentral describes it as "lncRNA (ENSOCUG00000034011.1)". The record is from RNAcentral. Lineage: Eukaryota; Metazoa; Chordata; Mammalia; Lagomorpha; Leporidae.
GACCCUCAUGCAGUGGGGGAGGCUUCCAGGGGGUGCUGUGGCUCCGGGACGGCUCCCCACCCGUGCCCUGGCAUCUCAGGGGCUGCUCGCGGGUGUGCCCAGGGCUGGGUGCAGCGCUGGUGGCGUUUCCUCUCUCUCCGGUGCAGACGACCUCAUCUGGGUGCAGCAGGGCCCAGGAGUGCCCCUGUGGCGUGCACAGGUGAGGGUGACGGGCGUGCAGACACGCAAGCAGCAGCUGCGCUCUGGCCACAAAGUGCCAGGGACCCCUGCCCGGGCUCGGGGUUUGCUUCUGCCGCCCGUGCCAGGCCUGCUCUGGCCUCUUGCCUGUGUCUGCUGCUGACGACAGAUGCCCCGGUGGUCUGGGAGCGUCGCUUUGACCUUGGUCACCCAGGGAGGGCAGACCUUGGGACCUGCUCUGCCCCUCUGCUCUGGUACAGAUGCCCACUGGACACUUCCCUGCAGAGCCACACCCGCGGCCCCCAAGGAACAGACUCGUGGACGCACCCAGCGUCAGCCCGCGGUUCAGAAUGCACAGUGUGUGGCUGGGGCUGUGCUGUCCAGGAGACCCCUCCCUCCUGGGGCCGCUCCAGCACCUGCAGGCUCCUUCGCCCUCUGACGACAGCCCAGCAGGACUGCCCCUGCUCCUUGGGCCUCGCCUUGGUUUUGCUUGGUUGCCUGUUUUUCCACACCAUUUGCUCCUCACUGGCCCUGCACAUUCUCCAUAUUAAUCACCUGAAGGUUGUUCAAAAGAAAACCAGUGUGCCCCCGCCCCACCCCAAAGGUCAGAUGUGGCCAUGCUGGGUGGACGCCGGCAGGACAGGGGGCAGAAGCUCCACGUGGGGCUCCAGCAGCACCCACGGUCCACGCUUGGCCCCUGCAGGCACCGGCGAGGGGCGCACUGCCCCGAAGCCGCCUCCCUGCCCCCAGCCCCUCCUUUCUGGAAGUACCUGCCCUGCUGGGGAGCUAGCGGGCCUUGCGGGGGGGUUCCAUGCGAUGAAGACCCCCCGCCCCGCCAAGAGGCCCAGGAGGGAGAUGCAAGACCACGGAUCUCUGUGCUGCGGGUUCCUGUGA